Molecule: ribosomal RNA, 305 nt
Filed under: uncultured bacterium
Lineage: Bacteria
Description: bacterial SSU rRNA
Rfam family: Bacterial small subunit ribosomal RNA
Source: RNAcentral
UUCGAGCUACGGGGGCAGCAGUGAGGAAUAUUGGUCAAUGGGCGCGAGCCUGAACCAGCCAAGUAGCGUGAAGGAUGACUGCCCUACGGGUUGUAAACUUCUUUUAUAAAGGAAUAAAGUGAGGCACGUGUGCCUUUUUGUAUGUACUUUAUGAAUAAGGAUCGGCUAACUCCGUGCCAGCAGCCGCGGUAAUACGGAGGAUCCGAGCGUUAUCCGGAUUUAUUGGGUUUAAAGGGUGCGUAGGCGGAUUUUUAAGUCAGCGGUAAAAUGUCCGGGCUCAACCCGGGCCGGCGGUUGAAACUGGG